Nomascus leucogenys (northern white-cheeked gibbon) is the source of this 760-nucleotide long non-coding RNA. RefSeq lists it as uncharacterized. NCBI's taxonomy places the organism in Eukaryota, Metazoa, Chordata, Mammalia, Primates, Hylobatidae. The transcript is spliced from 2 exons. The record is from RefSeq and is a predicted model, not a curated record.
GAUAAUAAACUGCCUCUCUCCGAUUGGUUUUGCCCGACUUUUAUUUUUGUCUGUCUCAGCUAGAAAGUGGGAGACUUUCAUUUAAAAUGGAAAUUGGGGCGAGGGGUUGGCGGCUGAGCGAAGGGAGCAUUCAAAAGCGUAGAAUGUCACUUUACCCGAGAAAUUAUCUACGAUGGGCCGUUGGUUUCUGCUCGGCCCGCAGGCGCAUUGCACGAGUGGAGGCGUGGCUAGUGGCUGUGACGAGAUAAAUUCAUGCAUAGCCUUUUCAUCGCGAGCUUGAAAGUUCUUUUCUAUUACGGUUUUAGCUUUAGGUUUAAUUGGUUCGACUGCCUUCUCCACAAUUGGGCGAGAAUUUCUUUUGCCUUCUCAGCAAAAGUUGUUCUGCGGACCUGUCUGGGUCAACUUUCAUGAGGGACAUUGAGACAAACAAAUGAAAUACGGGUCAAAGUACUCUGAGCAGCUACAAAAAGAAGACCAGCCUAUCCUGCUGGAGACAGUGGCCACAUGAAGAAAGAGCCCUUGGAGUAUGAAAGACCACAUGGAAAGAGAGGCCACAUGGAACCAACAGUCAGCAUCUUGGUUUCGGACAUGUGAAGAAAUUCAUCUCAGACUGUGUAUCCUAAAUCAGGCACUUGCUGAAUGCAACUACGUGAGUGAGACCAGUUGACAACACAUGGAGCAGACGUGAGCUGUUCUCAGUGAGUCCUACACAAAUUCCCAACUCACAAAAUUGUGAGCAAUAAAAUGGUUGUUAUUUUAA